UCUGGAAGCUGUAUAUACGAAUGCAUGCAGGUGGAGUGUCUGCAUGCACUAACAGUCUUCCUAUAGCAAUUUAAUGGAGAUCUCUGCCUAGCUCGGUCAAGAUCAGACUGUCCCAGGUCGUUCCUCUCCGUACACU
Molecule: non-coding RNA, 136 nt
Organism: Leptobrachium leishanense (Leishan spiny toad)
Lineage: Eukaryota; Metazoa; Chordata; Amphibia; Anura; Megophryidae
Source: Ensembl